GGAAGGAUCAUUAACGUAUCAUUUCCACAAUCCCUUUCAUGUUAUCAAAUCAAUAUUCAUGAUCUUUCAUUGAUAACAUUCUAUGCUUGUCAUAGAUCUUAGAGGAGUUUUCCAACUUCGGUUGAAAAUUAAGAUCAUCCUCGAAUUAUUAUUUUUACCAUGUAAAAUCAAAUCAGAAUUGUUGAGAUUUAGAGAAAUUUAAAUUUAAAAUGAAAAACAAAAACAACUGUUAGCAACGGAUACCUAGGCUCUUGUAACGAUGAAGAACGUAGCAAAGUGCGAUAACUCGUGUGAAUUGCGGAAUUCGUGAAUCAUCAAAUUUUUGAACGCAAAUGGCGCCAAUACUUGUAUUGGCACACCUAUUUGAGUGUUGGCUAAAAUCUUCUCAACCAUUCUAAAUGAUUGAGAGAUGUUGAAUGUCUAUCUUCUUCUGAGGAUUGUCAUUUUAAAUGUAUCAUUCGAAACCUUUCACUGUGACUUUCAACGGAAACUAUGAAGGAUAAUCGAUACCAAAUCUAGCCCUCUAAUUUCUUUCGAGAAGUUAUUGAAAAUCAACCUCAAAUUAGGUGAGAGUACUCGCUGAAUUUAAGCAUAUUAAUAAGCGAAGGAAAAGAAACUAACAAGGAUUCCCUUAGUAACGGCGAGUGAAGCGGGAAGAGCUCAAAUUUAAAAUCUGCAACCAUUGGUUGUCGAAUUGUAGUUUAAAGAUUCAUAUUCGUUGGAGUAAGCAAGGUUAAAAUCUCCUGGAAAGAGGUAUCAAAGAGGGUGAAAAUCCCGUUUGAAGCUUUGUUUAUUUUAACAUAUGUUUAUGAUUCAUAGAGUCGGGUUGUUUGGGAAUGCAAUCUUAAAUGGGUGGUAAAUCUCAUCUAAAGCUAAACAUUGACAAGAGACCGAUAGCAAACAAGUACCGUGAGGGAAAGGUGAAAAGAACUUUGAAAAGAGAGUUAAAAUUACUUGAAAUUGUUAACAGGGGAACACUUUAAUUCUCGAAUGAACUUGAUUAAAUCAGCUUUUAUUGGUAUGUAAUUCUUUAUCAUUUAUGUCAAAGUAGUGAUAGGGGAGUCAGUAUUCAUAGAGGUGCACUUUGAUUAAGAUCACUCAACGAGUGUUUUGAUGGGAUGAAAAGUAGAUAAAUGCGGUAGUAUCCUUACCUUCGGGUUUGUUUAUGAAGCUUUGACCAACUAAUUCCAUUAAGACUCGAGAAAACUCUGCCUCAAGGCUGUGAUGUGUGCCAUUUGUUGUAUUUAAGUAUUGGACUAAAAAUUAGUGUUGUAUUUAUGUAUAAUUAAUGAGUAUACUAACAAUAGAGUUUAUGUUGAUAGAGGAUUAAAAUGACCCGUCUUGAAACACGGACCAAGGAGUGUAGCACAGGUGCGAGUCUAAGAGUGGAAAAACUUUAAGGCGAAAUGAAAGUGACAAGGUCAGACAGUAGCGAUACUAGCAUGAUCGAUCAACCUGGAUAGAUUUUGAAAGGAUUGAAUCAUAGCAUUUAUGGUACGACCCGAAAGAUGGUGAACUAUACUUGGGAAGGACAAAGUCAGAGGAAACUCUGAUGGAGGUUCGAAGGGGUUCUGACGUGCAAAUCGAUCUUCAUACCUGAGUAUAGGGGCGAAAGACUAAUCGAACCAUCUAGUAGCUGGUUCCCUC
Molecule: unclassified non-coding RNA, 1647 nt
Filed under: uncultured fungus
Lineage: Eukaryota; Fungi
Description: sequence contains 18S rRNA gene, ITS1, 5.8S rRNA gene, ITS2, 28S rRNA gene
Rfam family: Eukaryotic large subunit ribosomal RNA (bases 553-1647)
Source: RNAcentral